RNAcentral lists this non-coding RNA (29 nucleotides) under Rattus norvegicus (Norway rat). Lineage: Eukaryota; Metazoa; Chordata; Mammalia; Rodentia; Muridae. The record is from RNAcentral.
GCCUUUCAGCUGAGGAAUUGCCUCUUGGA